CCUACGGGCGGCAGCAGUGAGGAAUAUUGGUCAAUGGCCGGAAGGCUGAACCAGCCAAGUCGCGUGAGGGAUGACGGUCCUAUGGGUUGUAAACCGCUUUUGUCAGGGAGCAACGGGCCCUACGUGUAGGGUUUUGCGAGUACCUGAAGAAAAAGCAUCGGCUAAUUCCGUGCCAGCAGCCGCGGUAAUACGGAGGAUGCGAGGGUUAUCCGGAUUUAUUGGGUUUAAAGGGAGCGUAGGCGGAAUGUCAAGUCAGCGGUAAAAGUUCGGGGCUCAACCCGGUCGUGCCGUUGAAACUGGCGUUCUUGAGUGAGCGAGAAGUAGGCGGAAUGCGUGGUGUAGCGGUGAAAUGCAUAGAGAUCACGAAGAACCCCGAUUGCGAAGGCAGCUUGCCGGCGCGGAACUGACGCUGAUGCACGAAAGCGUGGGUAUCGAACAGGAUUAGAUACCCCUGUAGUC
RNAcentral lists this ribosomal RNA (459 nucleotides) under uncultured bacterium. Its description in RNAcentral is "partial 16S ribosomal RNA". It matches the Rfam family "Bacterial small subunit ribosomal RNA", at positions 338 to 795 of the family's 1533-position model. The record is from RNAcentral.